AAACCCCAUGACAAGCCUAACAUUGUUACUGGAGCUAAUGUUCAGGUGUGCUGGGAGAAAUUUGCAAGGUACUUUGAGGUGGAAUUGAAGGAAGUGAAGCUGACGGAUGGCUACUAUGUGAUGGACCCUGUCAAAGCAGUGGAGAUGGUGGACGAGAACACCAUCUGUGUUGCUGCUAUCCUUGGUUCUACCCUCAAUGGAGAAUUCGAAGAUGUUAAACACUUGAAUGAUCUUUUGACAAAGAAAAACAAAGAAACAGGGUACCUAUCUACCUACCUACAUUCAUUCAUUCAUUCUCUUUUUCUAGCUGCUAUCUCCCUCCCUCAUUAACUUUAUGUUUUGGUAGAUGGGAUACUCCAAUCCAUGUAGAUGCAGCAAGUGGUGGCUUUAUUGCACCCUUUCUUCACCCAGAGCUGGAGUGGGACUUCCGCUUGCCACUUGUGAAAAGCAUUAAUGUUAGCGGCCACAAGUACGGGCUUGUGUAUGCUGGCAUAGGUUGGGUGAUUUGGAGGAGUAAAGAGGACUUGCCCGAUGAGCUCAUCUUUCAUAUCAACUAUCUUGGAGCCGACCAACCUACCUUCACCCUCAACUUCUCCAAAGGUCCCCUUCCAAACUACUGCUACAUCUUUGAGAUCUUUUUUGAUGAUCAUAAUAUAAUGCAUGCUAAGUAUUAAUUUUCCUCCCAAUGCAGGUUCUAGUCAAGUUAUUGCUCAGUAUUAUCAACUCAUUCGCUUGGGCCAUGAGGCAAGUUUGAUGGAAAUAACAUAACAUCCUCAUAACAUACCUACUACAUAUGAUUCAUUAUCCUUUUUAUUUAUGUUAUCUACUUUGGUUGUCAAAUUUUGAGGGAAAGUAUAAGGUAGGAGAAUCACACGUAUGUUCUACUUGGUCCAUGCAGGGAUAUAGGAACAUUAUGGAAAACUGUCAAGAAAAUGCAAGGGUGCUCAAAGAAGGAUUGGAGAAGACAGGGCACUUCAACAUUGUGUCUAAAGAGAAUGGAGUGCCAUUAGUAGCCUUCUCUUUGAAAGACAACAGCUGUCACAAUGAGUUCGAGGUGUCAGACAUGCUGCG
Molecule: long non-coding RNA, 1071 nt
Filed under: Vitis vinifera (wine grape)
Lineage: Eukaryota; Viridiplantae; Streptophyta; Magnoliopsida; Vitales; Vitaceae
Description: long non-coding RNA (VVIN_LNC001038)
Source: RNAcentral